Molecule: long non-coding RNA, 200 nt
Organism: Callorhinus ursinus (northern fur seal)
Lineage: Eukaryota; Metazoa; Chordata; Mammalia; Carnivora; Otariidae
Source: RefSeq, a predicted model, not a curated record
CUCAUCUACCUACUGGUCCCAGAGUCAGUGGAGCUGGGUGGCAAAAGCCACCCGUGCAGCAGUCCCCAGUGCAAGGAACGGUAUACACUGUCUACCUGCCCCUCCCAUGGAAGCCCCUCAAGGCAGCGAGGCGGUCUGAUUCACAAUCUGGAUCUCCAGGCCUGGCACACAACAGAUGCUCAAUAAAUACUUGUUUGAUG